GUGGGGAAUCUUGCGCAAUGGGCGAAAGCCUGACGCAGCCAUGCCGCGUGAAUGAUGAAGGUCUUAGGAUUGUAAAAUUCUUUCACCGGGGACGAUAAUGACGGUACCCGGAGAAGAAGCUCCGGCUAACUUCGUGCCAGCAGCCGCGGUAAUACGGAGGGAGCUAGCGUUGUUCGGAAUUACUGGGCGUAAAGCGCGCGUAGGCGGACAGCUUAGUCAGAGGUGAAAGCCCAGGGCUCAACCUUGGAAUUGCCUUUGAUACUGGCUGUCUUGAGUUUGGGAGAGGUGAGUGGAACUCCGAGUGUAGAGGUGAAAUUCGUAGAUAUUCGGAAGAACACCAGUGGCGAAGGCGACUCACUGGCCCAAUACUGACGCUGAGGCGCGAAAGCGUGGGGAGCAAACAGGAUUAGAUACCCGAGUAGUCC
This 425-nucleotide ribosomal RNA is filed under the name uncultured bacterium. RNAcentral's name for it is "partial 16S ribosomal RNA". It matches the Rfam family "Bacterial small subunit ribosomal RNA", at positions 354 to 796 of the family's 1533-position model. The record is from RNAcentral.